CCUACGGGUGGCAGCAGUGAGGAAUAUUGGUCAAUGGGCGCGAGCCUGAACCAGCCAAGUUGCGUGAGGGAAGACGGUCCUAUGGAUUGUAAACCUCUUUUGUCGGGGAGCAAAAGACGCCACGCGUGGCGUUCCGAGAGUACCCGACGAAAAAGCAUCGGCUAACUCCGUGCCGACAGCCGCGGUAAUACGGAGGAUGCGAGCGUUAUCCGGAUUUAUUGGGUUUACAGGGUGCGCAGGCGGAAGAUCAAGUCAGCGGUAAAAUUGAGAGGCUCAACCUCUUCGAGCCGUUGAAACUGGUGUUCUUGAGUGAGUGAGAAGUAUGCGGAAUGCGUGGUGUAGCGGUGAAAUGCAUAGAUAUCACGCAGAACUCCGAUUGCGAAGGCAGCAUACCGGCGCUCAACUGACGCUCAUGCACGAAAGUGUGGGUAUCGAACAGGAUUAGAUAACCUUGUAGUC
This 459-nucleotide ribosomal RNA is filed under the name uncultured bacterium. RNAcentral describes it as "partial 16S ribosomal RNA". It matches the Rfam family "Bacterial small subunit ribosomal RNA", at positions 338 to 795 of the family's 1533-position model. The record is from RNAcentral.